Molecule: ribosomal RNA, 416 nt
Filed under: uncultured bacterium
Lineage: Bacteria
Description: bacterial SSU rRNA
Rfam family: Bacterial small subunit ribosomal RNA
Source: RNAcentral
UGAGUAACGCGUAUCCAACCUUCCCUAUAGUAGAGGAGUAGCCCGGCGAAAGUCGGAGUUAAUACUCUAUGUUGUUCAAUGCGGACAUCUAAGUUGAACCAAAGGUUUACCGCUAUAGGAUGGGGGAUGCGUCUGAUUAGAUGGUAGGCGGGGUAACGGCCCACCUAGUCGACGAUCAGUAGGGGUUCUGAGAGGAAGGUCCCCCACAUUGGAACUGAGACACGGUCCAAACUCCUACGGGAGGCAGCAGUGAGGAAUAUUGGUCAAUGGGCGAGAGCCUGAACCAGCCAAGUAGCGUGCAGGAUGACGGCCCUAUGGGUUGUAAACUGCUUUUAUAUAGGGAUAAAGUGCACUACGUGUAGUGUUUUGUAGGUACUAUAUGAAUAAGGACCGGCUAAUUCCGUGCCAGCCGCCGC